AAGGUAGAAGUAAUCUCUUACGCUUAAUUUUUUUUAAUUUUUUAUAUAAAUUAUAUAUCAGACAACAAUGUUUAACGUUGUUUUACCAUCUCAAAAUCACUAAAUCACGUACGGAAAAAAGAAUGACGGGAUUUAAAAAAAAAAACGAAAAGAGGCAAAAAGACACAUCUAGAUAAUGACAGAUUUACAUUUAUAUUUUUAUCUCCAUUAUGAGAUGUAGUGGUUCAACAAUCAUAAUCUAAAAUAUUUUUGAUAAAUAAUGAACACAAACUAUUAAUUAAUGGAUUAAUAGGAAAUUUAGUACAUUUUCAAGAUAUAAUUAGAAAACUAAUACAUAUACUAUUUAUAAUUGGUAAAAUAAUACAUGAGACCUACUUUAGAGAUAGAAAAUAUGUGAGAUAGGGGAAAUUAGAAGAAAUAAAAAUGACAUAGGAGGGUAAUUUUUUAUUCUCCUGAUUUUCAUUUAUUUUUUCAUUUUUGUUUUCUUUUUUUCUUUUAAUAUCACCACCCAAAAUAUCUUAUAAUUAAAAUACUAGGUUUUGUAAAAUUCUUUUUUAAAAUAUUUUUGACACAUAAAAAUCUAUAAGUUUUUCUCUAUAAUUUGAUAUACAUUUUGCAUUAUAAAUUAUAAAUAUUUUUCAUAUAUACAUAUUUAUUUGUACAGUUUAGUAUGUUUACAUACUUUAUCGUACAGUUUAAUAUGCGUACAGACGUAUUUGUACAGCUGAUUAAAUGUACAGAUGUACCCGUACAGUUUACUAAAUGUACGAAUGUAUAAAAAAUUACACAUUUUUAUUCGUAUAACUAUUAUUGUAUAAUGAAAUAUGCAUAUUUAUGUACAUUUGUACACUAAUAUUCUGUACGGAUGAUAUUAUGUAGUACUUUAAAUAUUGUACAAAAAUAUUUUUUUGCAUAUCUGUACAUAAGAUAUGCUGUACGAAUUAUACUAUAUAAUUAGUACAGUGGCAUACUCGUAAAUAUUUUGUUUUUCUGGGUGCUUAAAUGUCAAUGAAAUAGUACCAAAUAGUGGGAAUGUACUAGUUUGCUAAUUAUAAAUAGUAAUUGUACUAGUAUUAUAAUUAAGUUUCAAAAAUGUACUAUUUAUCCAACCCACCCUUAAUUAAUUAUAAGGUGGAGCAAAAAGGAGAAGGUCCAGGGUUUAGAUGCUCGCAUGGCAUAGCACAGGUAGGAAACAAGAUUUACGCUUUUGGUGGGGAGCUCACACCAAAUCAGCCCAUCGACAAACACCUUUACGUCUUUGACCUCGAGACCCGUACUUGGUCCAUUUCUCCAGCUACCGGAGAGGUUCCUCACCUCUCUUGCUUAGGUGUCCGUAUGGUUGCAGUUGGAUCAACCCUCUAUGUCUUCGGAGGCCGAGACGCGUCACGGCAAUAUAACGGGUUCUACUCAUUUGACACGACCACGAAUGAGUGGAAACUUGUAACCCCGCUCGAAGAAGGUCCCACUCCUCGUAGUUUCCACUCGAUGGCAGCUGAUGAGAACAACGUUUACGUUUUCGGUGGAGUGGGUGCUACGGACCGGCUCAAGACACUAGACGCUUACAACAUCGCUGAUAAGAAGUGGGUGCAGUGUGCGACUCCAGGAGAAAACUUUAGCGUUAGAGGAGGAGCAGGGCUCGAAGUGGUGCAAGGGAAGGUAUGGGUUGUGUAUGGUUUCAACGGAUGUGAAGUUGACGAUGUUCAUUACUAUGAUCCUGUACAAGACAAGUGGACACAAGUGGAAACAUUCGGUGAGAGGCCUUCAGAAAGGAGUGUGUUCGCAAGUGCGGUUGUUGGGAAACACAUUCUUAUGUUUGGAGGUGAGAUUGCGAUGGACCCGCUAGCUCACGCGGGUCCGGGUCAGCUGGCCGAUGGAACUUUUUCUUUGGACACAGAGACGAUGAAAUGGGAGAGGUUGGAUAAGUUUGGUGAAGAGGAGGAGACUCCAAGUAGCAGAGGAUGGACCGCGUCAACAACAGGAACCAUUGAUGGUAAGAAAGGGCUUGUGAUGCAUGCUGGGAAAGCUCCAACCAAUGACCGGUUUGAUGAUCUCUUCUUUUACGGAAUUGAAUCUGGUUAACUAAUUAAAACGCGGUCUGAUGAUAACCGUUUGUGAUUUUAAGUAUGUGUGCAAUAAGGAAGGGUCGUGAAUUCGUGAUGAAUGACUAUGCCCAUAUAUGAUCCUUUGUCAGUUUGCUGUUUUCUUCUUUCUACAUGUUUGUUUCAUGUUUUGUGUGUAAUAAACUAUUUAUUUUCGUUUAACAAAAAAUAAGUAAAGAAAUUGUUUAUUUUCCUGAAAGAAAUCGCCAGAUCAUUUAUCGAAAAGAACAAAAUUAAAAAAUCGCAAGAUAAUGAACCUCUAUAAUGAUUAGUCCCAUAUGCAUGAUUAAAAUCCAGGGACAAGGAUCAAUACUCAAUUACCAAUUCAUCAUAAAAGGUGCGACUAGCUAGUGACAUUAAAAAAACAUUCAGCUAGUCAAAUUAGAUGAAAAAGACAAACUAGUAUUAUUUAUAUUAUUUUUUAUUUUUUUUAUUUUUCUGGUUGGAUUAGUUUUAAUUGUAUUUUCAUACUUAAUUUUUAACUCUAAAUAUUAUUAGCCUGAUCCAAAACUGAACAAUCUAUAUUAGUAUUUGUCCACCACUACUAUCCAAUUCGGUGGUUUGUGUGGUGGAGUCCCACACCAACUAGGUUAAAAAAAAUAAGUUUUAUUAAAACUUUCCAGAAUUAAGUCUUAUAAAUUAUAAUAAUUAUGAUUUAAUGACAUAUUUUAGAGAUAAUGUGUAAGGAAUCAUGGCAUUUUAUAUGAUGUGGAUGGUUCAAUUCAAAAAUAAGUAUGUACAUAUUCUGAAAAACGUAUCUAAUAUUUUCUCACUGAUUUUUUUUUUAUAUAUUAAGCAUUUGUCAACUGUUACUUCUUUUGGUGCAAACUUUAAUUAGUCUCCGUAUGUGAAAAUAAAAGAGCAGUUAAUGAAGGAGAACUAAUUACGUAACACUUACAAAAAAAAAAAAAAAAAAAAAAAAAAAAAAAAAAAAAAAAACUAAUUAAGACAGAGAUCAUGGUGGGAACUAGGACCAAUUAAGAUUAUGUUUCCAUCUUCGUGUUAAACUGCUAAUUCAUACGACGUGUGGUAAACAAUUGUAUAAACAUAAUUAGGAAGACAAGUUUCUUUAUAGUAUAAACAUAAUAUCAGUGAAAAAAGAAUAAAUUAAGUAGAACAUUAAUAUACAACUUGCCAGUUGCCACACAACCCGUUCACACGUCGUUUCCUCUAAAAUUUCUCUAUCAACUCCAUGUUACGGUUCAACAAUAUCUAGAGUGCAUCCACGAUCAUCGUUUGACUCUCUGCGGAAGAUACCAUUAGUGCUACGAUUCAGGCUAAGGUAGGGUCUUUUAUUUAGAAUUAACUAGUACAUUAGCCUUAAACUAGGGCCGCAACAACAUCAUUAGGCCACGAUGCAAGGGGAGACCAUAUACUGUAUACUGAUUCAAAGUCGUGCCAACGUUUACUGAUGACAUUAGCAAACACAAAAUGGAAAGCUGGAAUUUCUUUUUUCUUUUAAAGUGAAGAAUACAAAACACCAUCGUCAUAUAAUGUAACGUAUAAAAAAACUAACCUAGCAACCAAGUUAUUAAUUACAAAAACACAAAAAUGUUAAUGAAAACGAAUCCUUGCAACAACAAAAAAAAAAUCAACUAGUUAUAAUAUUUUUCAAAAAAAAAACAAAUAUUUGCUUUUUUAUAAUCUUUCAAAACGUGACACACACAUGCAUUUAAAUAUAGCUGUACUGUAUUUAUAUUAAAGUAAAACCACGCGAAGCGAGCCGUGAGCUUUUUAUUUUAGCUAAUAAGGAAUAUAUCUUUAAGGGAUUUAACAUAUAACUUGAAUUGACUUGUAUUGAUAAAUAUAGAAGGCAAACAUUUAAUUUCUGUACACUCAAUUUCAUUCAUCCGCAUAAUUGGGUAUACAAAAUCAUUGUUGGGUUUGUCGACAUUUACUUGUUUAUAGACCAAAUGAAUUAGACAUGACUAUAAAUCUAUAAUGGUAUAAUUAUAUAUUAGUCAUGGAGGUUUGAAUGAUAACGUACUAUAUAUAAUAUUAAUAUAUAUUUGUUACAAUAACGACAAAAAGAGAGAAAAAAACAUACAUGAGUUGGCAUAACAUGUAUACGUGUUUAAUGAAAAGUGUUCCUUAGUAGUAUUAACUAAUAUGUCUCCAUCUAAACUGGAUUAUUCAUUUAAUCCCUCGCGGUUCACGAGAUAAUAGUAUAUUUCAAGAAAUACUUCAACCAGUGCUUCCAUGUGCCCAUAAAUACCCAUGCAAAUUCCCAAACUGGAUCACUCACCAAUCAUUAAUUACUUUACUCUCAGGUCAGCUCUCUCAUCAUCUCCCUUCCCCUCUCCAUCAUAUGAUCGUAGUUUACAUAGCAUUUUGUUUAUAAUAUGAUCAUAAUAUUACAGGUUAAUAUUUCGUAAGACUAAAAAUGCUAGCAAAAGAGAUGGCUCACAAGAUGGAAGCACAUGUCAAGAAGAUCGUUGGCUUUGCCGGAGACACUCUUCAUUCUCUUGGUGCUCAUUCUGCUCCGUUGACUCCAGCUAUCAAAAAGCUGGAAGCACACGGUGGUAAUAUGGGAGGUGCAUGGGAUGAUGGUGCUCACGAAGGUGUUAGAAAAGUAUAUAUAGGGAAAGCCCAAAAUGGUAUAGCAUUCGUCAAGUUUGAGUAUGUCAAUGGUUCUCAUGCCGUUGUUGGAGAUGAACAUGGAAAGAAGACUCUGCUAGGAGUUGAUGAGGUACUUAAAUAGAUUUAUCUAUCUUGUGUUUGGUCAAAAGGGUCUCUCGCUUGUUAGUUCCGGCAUUGAAAUGGAUUGUUUUCUCUUUGCAGUUUGAGAUUGAUGUUGAUGACUACAUCGUAUAUGUAGAAGGUUAUCGUCAGAUAGUUAAUGAUAUGCCCACAGAAAUGAUCACAUUUCUUUCAUUCAAGACUUUCAAAGGCAAAACCUCUCAGCCUAUCGAAAGCAGACCUGGGACUAAGUUUGUGCUUCACGGUGGUAAAAUCGUUGGGUUUCACGGACGUUCGAGCGACGUCCUAUACGCCCUCGGAGCCUAUGUUUCUUUGUCGUGCACUCCGAAAUUGAGUGGGAAAUGGAAAAAGGUAGUAAUCUUAAUCUCCUAGUGUAGCAUAAAAUAUUGGUGUCUUUUUCAUCUCACACAACAAUUUUUAUCAUAAAUCUCACGUACGAGAAAAAUAAUGAAUGAGGAAAAAAAAAAGUGAAAGCUAAUAUAUAUUUUCACUAAUUUUAUCUCACCAAUUUAAUAUAAUUUUAACAAAUAUCAAUAUUGAUUAAUUCUAAGGUGGAGCAAAAAGGAGAAGGGCCAGGGCUAAGAUGUUCGCAUGGCAUAGCACAGGUAGGAAACAAGAUUUACGCCUUUGGUGGGGAGUUCACACCAAAUCAGCCCAUCGACAAACACCUUUACGUCUUUGACCUCGAGACCCAUACUUGGUCCAUUUGUACAGUCACGGGAGACGUCCCGCACCUCUCUUGCUUAGGUGUCCGUAUGGUGU
Molecule: long non-coding RNA, 5561 nt
Filed under: Capsella rubella
Lineage: Eukaryota; Viridiplantae; Streptophyta; Magnoliopsida; Brassicales; Brassicaceae
Description: long non-coding RNA (CRUB_LNC003641)
Source: RNAcentral